GGACCCGCACAAGUAGUGGAGCAUGUGGUUUAAUUCGAAGAUACGCGCAGAACCUUACCAACACUUGACAUGUUCGUCGCGACUUUGAGAGAUCAAAGUUUUCGGUUCGGCCGGACGAAACACAGGUGCUGCAUGGCUGUCGUCAGCUCGUGUCGUGAGAUGUUGGGUUAAGUCCCGCAACGAGCGCAACCCUCACUUUUAGUUGCCAUCAUUAAGUUGGGCACUCUGAAAGAACUGCCAGUGAUAAGCUGGAGGAAGGUGGGGAUGACGUCAAGUCCUCAUGGCCCUUACGUGUUGGGCUACACACGUGCUACAAUGGUAUCUACAACAGGAGGCAAGACUGCGAAGUUAAGCAAAUCCUUAAAAGAUACCUCAGUUCGGAUUGCACUCUGCAACUCGAGUGCAUGAAGCUGGAAUU
Molecule: ribosomal RNA, 418 nt
Filed under: uncultured bacterium
Lineage: Bacteria
Description: bacterial SSU rRNA
Rfam family: Bacterial small subunit ribosomal RNA
Source: RNAcentral